RNAcentral lists this ribosomal RNA (202 nucleotides) under uncultured bacterium. RNAcentral's name for it is "partial 16S ribosomal RNA". It matches the Rfam family "Bacterial small subunit ribosomal RNA", at positions 334 to 528 of the family's 1533-position model. The record is from RNAcentral.
GACUCCUACGGGAGGCAGCAGUGGGGAAUAUUGCACAAUGGGCGCAAGCCUGAUGCAGCCAUGCCGCGUGUGUGAAGAAGGCCUUCGGGUUGUAAAGCACUUUCAGCGAGGAGGAAGGCCAGUGACUUAAUAAGUGGCUGGAUUGACGUUACUCGCAGAAGAAGCACCGGCUAACUCCGUGCCAGCAGCCGCGGUAAUACGG